UUGACAGAAGAGAGUGAGCACACGGCGCGAUGAACAGCAUAGCGUGUGUGCUGUCCUCGUCGCGUGCUCACUCCUCUUUCUGUCAG
RNAcentral lists this microRNA precursor (86 nucleotides) under Setaria italica (foxtail millet). Its description in RNAcentral is "mir-156 microRNA precursor family". It matches the Rfam family "mir-156 microRNA precursor family". Rfam says of the family: This family represents the plant microRNA (miRNA) precursor mir-156. Animal miRNAs are transcribed as ~70nt precursors and subsequently processed by the Dicer enzyme to give a ~22nt product. In plants the precursor sequences may be longer, and the carpel factory (caf) enzyme appears to be involved in processing. The record is from Rfam by way of RNAcentral. Lineage: Eukaryota; Viridiplantae; Streptophyta; Magnoliopsida; Poales; Poaceae.